Molecule: transfer RNA, 72 nt
Filed under: Camelus bactrianus (Bactrian camel)
Lineage: Eukaryota; Metazoa; Chordata; Mammalia; Artiodactyla; Camelidae
Also listed under: 2 other names
Rfam family: tRNA
About the family: Transfer RNA (tRNA) molecules are approximately 80 nucleotides in length. Their secondary structure includes four short double-helical elements and three loops (D, anti-codon, and T loops).
Source: Rfam by way of RNAcentral
AAGGGUAUAGCUCAGUGGUAGAGUGUGUGCUUAGCAUGCACAAGGUCCUGGGUUCAAUCCCCAGUACCUCCA